RNAcentral lists this transfer RNA (69 nucleotides) under Marmota marmota marmota (Alpine marmot). It matches the Rfam family "tRNA". Rfam says of the family: Transfer RNA (tRNA) molecules are approximately 80 nucleotides in length. Their secondary structure includes four short double-helical elements and three loops (D, anti-codon, and T loops). Further hydrogen bonds mediate the characteristic L-shaped molecular structure. tRNAs have two regions of fundamental functional importance: the anti-codon, which is responsible for specific mRNA codon recognition, and the 3' end, to which the tRNAs corresponding amino acid is attached (by aminoacyl-tRNA synthetases). tRNAs cope with the degeneracy of the genetic code in two manners: having more than one tRNA (with a specific anti-codon) for a particular amino acid; and 'wobble' base-pairing, i.e. permitting non-standard base-pairing at the 3rd anti-codon position. Lineage: Eukaryota; Metazoa; Chordata; Mammalia; Rodentia; Sciuridae. RNAcentral also lists the same sequence under 5 other names. The record is from Rfam by way of RNAcentral.
GGGGCUGGGGCUCAGUGGUAGAGCACUUGCCUGGCAUGUGUGAGGCACUGGGUUCGAUCCUCAGCACCA